AUGUGUGAUGAACAUGUCGGAGAUACUGCUCAGCCACCGUCAGCACAAGCAGUACAAGAACUAGUUGAUUCAUUCUCAGAUCAACAGCUUGAUGCUACAGAAAUACAAAAGUCGAUGCAUGGUGGGAUCCAAAAACAAGCAAAGAACGACACAGUCUUUACUCCCAAGCAAGCUGGGUUAGGCAGAUCAUACAGGGAGAUGUUGACGGACGAGGAAGAAGAUGUGGUUUCAUACCGUCCUUUCUGGGAAUACACUUGGGGCGACAAGUGUGGUUCCUUCGAAGACUACACCUUUUUGACUCCCACACUUUAUACAUAUGGAACCAUCCCAGCACAUGCUGGCCCCUUCGGUUUCUUGCAGAUCUUCUCCAUCAAAGUCAUGGAGAAUGAAAUGUGGAGAAUCAGGUGGCCAGUGGAGGUAUAUGGCUUCAUUGCUGCUCGAGACAAUUUGGAUCGCAAUCGCAACCUUCUGUUCAGCCAGACAAGGGAUGAGCCCCAAAUUCUCACUCAACAGGAUUCAUUUUUGCAGUUGACUGGCCCGCGUCGCCCAAUUGCGUUGAUCGACCCUGUUGUCUUUGAGAUUCAACUAAAAGUGAAGGGCACAACUGAGUGUGAGGAUGAAACAUUGAUGGCUCGAUCGUUUGAAUAUGGACAUGGUUUUGGAGAAUAUGGUGAGCUUGCCUGUCGUUGUUGGGCCGGUAAUUUUUGCACACUAGAGAUCACCUCUGCGCUACUUUCCAGAACGGUUGCAGUCACUAUCAUCUCCGCUGAUGUUAUUAAAGGGUCAUGGCCUGGUGAUUAUAGAGGCCGUGUGGUUGCCCAUACUGCUGACAUAGAUGAGGAUUUUGUGCUGCUUGAUUCUGGAGAAGGACGUCUGCAAGUGAAUCCAGACGGCCGUAUUGUCCUUCAAAGGGGUGUUGUUUGUGUGGAACAUGAGGGAAUGCUUACGGUUUCUGUGGAAGCCUACUCAAAGGCGGGUACUUGUCGUGCAGAUUGCGUUGAAUUCAAGCCCAGAAAAUCCCUCACAAGUGAUGGUACUUGCAACCUUGGUUUCUGCACUGUGCAGUUUAUCGUUGGUUGGUCCCCCAUGGCAAGAAAGCAUGAUCUGAUGUAUGAUGGCAACUGA
Molecule: ribosomal RNA, 1125 nt
Filed under: Triticum aestivum (bread wheat)
Lineage: Eukaryota; Viridiplantae; Streptophyta; Magnoliopsida; Poales; Poaceae
Description: partial small subunit ribosomal RNA
Source: RNAcentral